CUGGUAAGUUAACAAGUCAGAUAAGGGCCUAUUCUGCAAGUCAGGGGGGUUAAUUAAGGACAAAGGAAGCCAUUGUUGAAUUUUUAUCAGAGAUACGCCAUGAUCAGAUUUGCAUUCAUGAAACAUCUCUUGAUACUGAAGGGGAGCAGAUAACGCCAUCCACAAAUGUGCCACUCUGGCAUAUUAAUGUUUUUUGAAUUAAAGAUACUUUAAGAAACAGAUGAUAUAAUAAGGACACUCUGACUUCCUUUGUUCCCCUGAGAGCAGGAUAUUAAAUCCCCAGUGUGAAAUUUACCCUCCUUCUAUCAGAAGGGUAGAAGACAUCCUUACCACCAGAGAAAGAAUUUAAGACCAAGAAGGGUGCACAAACAAACCUUGUUACUUCUUCACCAAUUUGCUAUCCCAAGCCCAAACCUCUUUGUCUUGUUUCUUCAUAAAUGUAUUGUUCCCUUGCCUAAAGGGUAGAAAGCUGCCUGUUUUGUUCACUUCUUUGAGUCUCAUAUUUUUAUGGGAUCAUGUACAUAUGAAAUGAAACUUGUUUUCCUCCUUUUAAUCUGAAUUAUGUCAAUUUAAUUAUUAGACCAGUCAAAGAACCUUGAUGGGAAGAAGGGAAAAGUUUUCCUCCCCUACAAGAUCUAAAACUACUCUAAGCUGCAUUGUUUUAGAUCUCUUUUAAGGACAGUGGGCAUCCUUUUACCACCUAAUACAUCUAUCUGGAGAAUACAUUUAACUAGAUGCUUGUGACAGAUACCGGAAACCUGCAGACAGAAGAGAUGCAGUUGACCCUUGAAUAACACAGGUUUGAACUGUGCAGAUCCACUUGUAUGCAGAUUUUUUCUGACUGUACAGAGGGUUGGUGCCCCUAACCUCCACACUGUUCAAGGGUAAGCUGUAUUUUUAUCAUUUGGAACAAAUACUAUUAUAAUUCUUUUUGCAUAAGAUAUUUGAAAGUAGAAAUCAUUCUGUUCAGUUUUAUAUAUACAGUAGUAGUAGCUCUUCAGCAAAUAGUUGAAGAUCUAAGUACAAAUGAACCGAAAGGAAUGACUGGUAAUGGAGAGUAUGAAAAUAGACUAGAUGUAGGAGUUCAGUUGGUAUAAACAGAAAUAGUGAAACAGCCGGCAAAGAGGAGGUAUAGAUAAAUGACUGUUAUUUUGAUGAAAAAUUUUGAUGGCAGGUAGGAGUUUUGACGUCUUAAAAAUCAAAUAAGUUUUCUGUGCUGUAUAUUAUGUUAGAUGGCUUAGCAUGAAAUUUGAGUAGAAGAUAGAAAUGUAAUGCUUAUACCUACGAAGUCCAGGCCUAAGGAAUGUCAUAGUUAGUUUUACAUUAACUGAAAGAGUAAAACCAAAAUAUUAACUGCUAACUAGGGUUCUGAUUAUGCACAAUUCUUUAUUUGAGAAUUUUAAUAGGGAAAUAAUUUUUAAAGCAGGAAAAAAUUAAUUAUGCAUCUUAAUGAGUACUCCCAGAAAAAAUAAUGUUCUGCAACUAUUAAAUGGAAAAAGUAAUCAACUAAGAUGACCAAAAAACAUCCAAUGAAAAGUGAAUGAUGUUCACAAAGUUAUACAGUAAGAAUAGAUAAGGUUAAAC
Molecule: long non-coding RNA, 1584 nt
Filed under: Sus scrofa (pig)
Lineage: Eukaryota; Metazoa; Chordata; Mammalia; Artiodactyla; Suidae
Description: lncRNA (ENSSSCG00015070555.1)
Source: RNAcentral